UGGCGAACGGGUGAGUAACACGUGAGUAACCUGCCCUUGACUUUGGGAUAACUUCAGGAGACUGGGGCUAAUACCGGAUAGGAGCUCCUGCUGCAUGGUGGGGGUUGGAAAGUUUCGGCGGUUGGGGAUGGACUCGCGGCUUAUCAGCUUGUUGGUGGGGUAGUGGCUUACCAAGGCUUUGACGGGUAGCCGGCCUGAGAGGGUGACCGGCCACAUUGAGACUGAGAUACGGCCCAG
RNAcentral lists this ribosomal RNA (237 nucleotides) under uncultured Actinomycetales bacterium. Its description in RNAcentral is "partial 16S ribosomal RNA". It matches the Rfam family "Bacterial small subunit ribosomal RNA", at positions 96 to 334 of the family's 1533-position model. The record is from RNAcentral. Lineage: Bacteria; Bacillati; Actinomycetota; Actinomycetes; Actinomycetales.